RNAcentral lists this small RNA (29 nucleotides) under Bombyx mori (domestic silkworm). Its description in RNAcentral is "ovarian small RNA-9801". Lineage: Eukaryota; Metazoa; Arthropoda; Insecta; Lepidoptera; Bombycidae. The record is from RNAcentral.
UUUCGUAGUCAGAGGCUAAUUGAUGCAGA